GGCCUCUCAGGGUCACAUCUGGAGAGUUUCCAGUCCUCUACCAGUCUCGGCUACGGGAGGGAGAGUCAGGCAGAGGCCUAUCCAUUCCAUUCCUAGCUUGGCCAAUGCCUAGCGAGUGGAAGGCAAUCUGAUACAAGG
Molecule: small nucleolar RNA, 138 nt
Filed under: Ornithorhynchus anatinus (platypus)
Lineage: Eukaryota; Metazoa; Chordata; Mammalia; Monotremata; Ornithorhynchidae
Source: RNAcentral